ACCGCCCGUCACACCAUGGAAGUCUGUUGCACCAGAAGUCGGUAGUCUAACCGCAAGGAGGGCGCCGACCACGGUGUGGCCGAUGACUGGGGUG
This 94-nucleotide ribosomal RNA is filed under the name uncultured bacterium. RNAcentral's name for it is "partial 16S ribosomal RNA". It matches the Rfam family "Bacterial small subunit ribosomal RNA", at positions 1389 to 1482 of the family's 1533-position model. The record is from RNAcentral.